UUCUCCUUGAGACCUGCAAAAGUCAAACUGCUGUAUUUGAAAUAUAAAUGAUGACAGUUUACAUCUUUUAAAGCGUUUCUCUGGAGAGUACGUACUUAUGAACCCUUUUCCCAAGAAGUUCAGGGUCUGAAUUGAUGUCAGAUGUGAAGCUGGCCUUCUUCCAGUUCUUGAGAACAUUGUCAAAAGAUGCUAAUACAUGAGAUGUAAUAUGGUUAUUUAAUGUGCAAAAAACAUGAAAACAUGUACGAUUUCAUUUUGUUGUUUAACAAUUGGCAAAAUCAUGUUUAAUUUCAAGUAGAACAUGUUCUCCACCUACCAGACUCAUGAAGAAUUCUUGCUUUGUGUCGGGUCCAUCCUUUCUCUGGCUGUGGUUCCUCCAUUACUUUAACACACUUCAAUAACUUGUCAGUUUCCUUUUAUGGUGGCCACCAGGAGUAGCCAUCUGAAUACCAGGACUUUGCAGCUGGUCCAGUCGUCCCUUCUCCCUCAAACUCCACAAUCAGGUACAUAUUUUUUUUUGUAAAGUUGAAAGGACGAAACGGGGGGCACGGUGGCUUAGUGGUUAGCAUGUUUGCCUCACACCUCCAGGGUUGGGGGUUCGAUUCCCGCUUCCGACUUGUGUGUGUGGAGUUUGCAUGUUCUCCCCGUGCCUCGGGGGUUUCCUCCGGGUACUCCGGUUUCCUCCCCUGGUCCAAAGACAUGCAUGGUAGGUUGAUUGGCAUCGCUGGAAAAAAUUGUCCGUAGGGUGUGAGUGCGUGAGUGAAUGAGUGUGUGCCCUGCGAUGGACUGGCACUCCAUCCAUGGUGUAUCCUGCCUUGAUGCCCGAUGACUCCGGAGAUAGGCGCAGGCUCCCCGUGACCCGAGGUAGUUCGGAUAAGCGGUAGAAAAUGGAAUGGAAUGGAAAGGACGAAACCUGUAUUUUUAUUAAGAUUUUUUAUUAUUAUUGAUUGUUUAACUAUGUCUAUCAAAUGCAAACUAAGUGACUUUAACUAUAUUAUAUUGCCAAAACUAUAUGACCCCCUCUAAUGAACUACUUCAGUCAUUUCCGUGAGUACAAAUCUUAAUAUCGCAGGAUAUCAUGAUAUUGGAAAUUGUGUGCUUCUAAUUUAUUAGCGUGUGGAAGGGACACUUUUCUGUCCAACCUGACAAUGACCCGGUGCACAAAGCAAGAUUUUAAAAGAAAUUCAGUCGAUGGGGACGAUCUGCAUAAAGCCCAGAGCUAAACUCAACUGAACAACUUUGGUGUGACUUUAUACAGAAAGUUUAAGCAUAAACUCAACUUGAGCCAAAACUCAACCCAACAUCAAUGGCUUGUGCACAAGUAGUAGUUAUUUUGGGACCGAAAAAGGCACUUUCGAAAAUUUUCAAAAUUGUAUUUCUGCAAAUACAGAAUUUUGUUUCCAUCUCAGUUGCAAACGUUUUGGAAGAACCUUUUUCUGUUCCAAAAUGGGUCUACCCCUGUUUAUAAGUCAUUGAGUGAUGAGUUUUUUUCAUUUAAGUCUACAUUUAAAGUCACACCAAAGGUGUUCAGCUGGGUUAAGGACUUGGCUUUAUGCAGACCAUGAAUGUUCUUCCCCAUCGACUGAAUUUCUUGCUUUGUGCACAGGGGCAUUGUCAUGUUGGAAUAUAAAAGGGCCCUUCUCAAACGGUUGCUAAAUUCGAAGCACACAAUUCCCUAGAAUAUCAUAAUUUGCUGUUGCAUUACGAUUUGUACUGACGAAAAAAAAUCAAACUCUAUCUACAGAAAACAAGCAGAGAUAUAGAUUUACUCUAUGUAAAAGAGAAAUUGAAACAAAGCAACUAUGAUGGGGAACAAGGAAAGAGAGAGAGAAUUAUGCACAUAUAUUGUAAAUCAAAGAUUCUUAUUAAUGUCACUUCAAUUUAUUAAAAUUGAAAGAAAAUGAUAACUGAGUAAGGUGCUUGUACUAACACGAACAAAUGCAUUAAGUACUUGUUUUUAGCAUGUUCAUUGGUUAAGUUGCUAAAACUAAUGGGCAGUGCCGUCAUUGUCAUAUGGUCUGUUCGACAUGUGGCGCAGCUCAAACCGCUUGUGGCGUCACAGUACCGCGAGAGCAAUUUCAGAGGAUCUGGCAGGGUGCUUUGGGAACGCUCUCGCGAUACUAUGAUGUCAUAUUCUGAUCGAUCUGCGGAAGACAUCAAGAAGUCUAAACACAAUGACGUACCUCGUGAAUUUCCGUACGGAGUGAUGCAGAAACGUGCUUAGAAACAAGCCCAAAUUGACCCAGAAGAAAAACUUUAUUAGUCCGCAAGUACCAGCCCAAGAGCAGGUAAGCUUGUUUUUUAAUCUUUCCUUCAUCAGAUCUUUAUUGGUGAUAGUGGACGGGGAAAAACUGUCAUGUUGUGGCGGUGUUUAUCGAUGCAGUUUGUUUUCAUUGACAAUCAAUAGAAGUUAAUGAAUGGCACAUUUUAUUAGUUGACCAGAUUUGUGAUCACGUGAGAGCUCUUUUUUUUACAACUUUAUACACGUUAUGGUUUUGGUCGUUUAUUUGUUUUAUGGUUUCCGUUUCAAUGCAAAGAAACGGAAGGAAUGGUGUUAAAAACAUUUGCGGUUUAACCCUCACUACCGGGUCUUCUCGGCCUUUGGGCCAGUAUUUUUGAUCACCCAUUUCAUUCUUUUGAGAUAAAAAUAGUCAUAGAUUUACAGAUGUAUUUGCACUGGCUGGUUCAAAGACUUAAGUCACAAAAAGGCUCAUCGAACUUUCAUUUCAUACAUUUCAUUUGCAGAGAUAUCUUCCAAUAAACAUUUAAGGAACUCUGCAUGUCACUGUUGACUCUCUUACGUCAUAAUUGCUUCUCAUGUACGCAUGAUUAUGUAACGUAUUGUCCAGGGAUGAGUGUUGACGUUGUACGCACGCAAUCUCCGCAGGCCUGCACGUAUGUUUUUGUUCACGCAAGUAUGUAUAAUUAAGUACUGCAUUUAUAAACGUUGUUGACCGUUUGUUGACGUUGUAACCAUUUUAAAACGACUUCUCAAGUAUGCUUAUAAACAUGUUGACCUAUAUAUAAUGAUAAUCUGGUGCUAUAUAAAUGCUUAUUAUACUAAAUAGACAAACCGAGUAGUUGGCAUUAAUCGCCUUCGUUGGAACGUGCGCCAAGCAAUCUGCGCAUCCCCUCACGAACGGCUCUUUUCCUGAAAACAUUAACGUUUGCUUGUUCGAGUGCGUUUUAUCAGGUUAGGGACUAAACUUAAUAGAAAACGAAUUUCACGAGCCAGAUUUUUGUAUAACUUGUAACGUUAGGCAACCUAAGCAACUUCCUAGACAUGUUACUUUUCUCAAUGCUGGGGGUUAAACCAAUAGGUUUUGUUUAAAUAGCAGCCGACUUUCCCUGAGCAGUCGCGGAAAUGCACGAUUUAACUCACUUAUCCGGUAGCUUGUUAAGAAAAUGACUUUUAUUCUCAAUGUUCCUGUUAUCGCAAGCACCUUCGUUUUUUAAUUUCUUUUUUUACAUUGGGGAUAUGGAGUAUGAGAACGGCGCUUUGUUUUUUCUCAGUCAGGUUUCUCACUGAGGAGAAAAAGCGCGCCAAUAAAAUAUGUGAAUGGUUUAAUGAGGUGAUUCAACUACAAUUGUAUUUCAGUUCAAUAUUAAGUGUACUUUAAUUAUUUGGUUAACAUAUAUAGGAUAUUAUUUGGUAAAGAUAUAUAGAAUAUUUAAAUGCAACACAUUUUAACAAUUAAAAAUCAAGACAAAGCCAAAUCUAAAACUUACCAACAACUUGACGAAUAAACUGGCACAAAGUAACUCGGAACAAAUUGUAAACCAAACACACUUAAACUGGAUGGAACUAUGAACGAAAUGAAAUGCAAUGUAUACAAAUAAUUAUAGACUGUUAAUGAGAAAUUAAAUUCAAAGGGAAUGUUUAAAGAGUAUAAGCUGCAGGAGACAAUGGCAGUGGUCAUGUGACACAAGUUGCCAGUGGUCACGUGAGUUAAGAGUGACCUCAAUCUAAACGUGUGCCCCUCAUGAGCUGGUUGCAUGGAGUCUAAUGGCACAUAUUGAGCAGUUAUAGAUUUGAUUCGAUUUUUUUCAUGUUUUAAAGCUUUUAUUUUAAAAUUAACAAAAACUAAAAAUCGAACUUGCAUUUUUAGCAACUUUAUUAUAUGAUUUUGCCAUUGUAUUGUUUAUUUGUUUAUUUUUUAUGUUUCUAUAACAGAUUUGUUAGUUUUAGUUUUGUUUAUUAACUUUAGUGCUCCAAACUUAUCGUUUUUUUUCUGAAGCAACAUUUGCAUUUUUUGUUAGUUUAUUUUUUGCCCUAAGUUUCAGGCCAAUAUUUUAUUUGAUUUCAAUAAACAAAAUGCUUUCAGAGUAUUCAUUUUAGUAAAUUAUUAUUAUGUUGUGAAAAUAAAUCUGCAUCAUUAAGCCUUUUGAACUUAAAAGAAAGGUUAGAUUUUUCGUCAAUCUUUUAGAGAAUAAGAAUUUUAAAUGGUUGGGAAUCUCAUUAAGAAAUAUAUAUUUUAAACUUACCUUUAUGCAUUUGGCAGUUGCUUUUAUCCAAAAGCGCUUUGCAUUGCAUUUCAUUACAUUAUACUUUUGUUUCUGAGUAUGUACAAUCCCCUGGAAUCAAACCCAUGACCUUGGCAUUGCUAGCUUCAUGUUCUAAACACUGAGCUACGGAAUGCAAAGCCUCUAAUACAUAACUAAUUAUUCAUACCCAUUUAUUUAAUACUAUCUAAAGCUUUUUUUUUCCAAAAUAACAGCUCUUUAAUGCCUAAUACAUUUGAAGAACACCUGACAAGAGACAAUGCCUUUAUACAGAAUUACUCCAGACCCUUCAGAUUUCCAGCUUUCCUCUUUAGUUCUCUCCACUCAUUUUCUUUAGGCUUCAGGUCUUGUGCUCAGUGACCCAUUUUGUUUUGAUGUUUGUUUUUAGAUUAUUGUCCUGUUGGAUGAUCCAAACUUGGCCCAUUAUGUGACCUUGCUGGAAUCCAAGAUGCCAUCUAUCUGAACAAGAAGUCCAGGAUCUCCAGCAGAGAAUUAGGCCCAAAACAUUAAAGACACAGCAGUGUACAUCAUUGUACACAUUUGUACAUUUAUAUCCCUGUGUGCACUAAAUCUUGAGUGUUAGAUGCUAAAAAGCUUAUUCUUUUUUUUUUGUCAACAAAAGCAUGUCAUAUUUACCUAGAGUAUAAAUCAUUUUGAGCUCAACUGUAUGUGUUAAUCAUAAAUUGUCAUAGUAUGUCUUUCAUUGAUUGAAUCUAUUCACCUUAAAAAUAUAAUUCAUUAUCCAUAAUAACGGUUUGCUUUAUUUUUUUCAUUACAACACAUUUUAACAAAUGGUAAUAAAAGCUUUUACUUUAAAUAGCCAGGUAUUUUCUUGCUCAUCUGGCUGAAAGUCGCUGGUACAUCUGGAGCUGAGAAUUAUGGCUUGAUGUUUGGUCCACCCAUGGCUAUGGUGCCUCCAUCCUGACAUUUCCGCAACCAGUCCUUGAAUAGCGGGUAUGCAUGUGUCAUCACUUUACCACCUGAGCACGGCGUAGUGCGCCCCAAUGGGUGGCAAAACACUCAGUAAAAUGAAUGCUUGCAAAGGAAUCAGGUAUUCCUGGACACUAAAAUGUUGCAUGGAAUUGCUUUUCCAGAUUUUGUAAGUCCAGCUGCUUGCAAUUUCAGCUCAAAAUGACCAGUUUUAGUCCCUGUUUCUCCUUGUUCCUCAGCCAUUUUGGUGCGUGUUUUACCACUAAGGGGAACAUGUACUGGACCUCAAGGGGGCGUGUCCCGUGCCGUCAUGUUCACGCAGGAAAGUGACGUCUAUGCAUACCCUCUAUAGAGGACACCAUCAGUGGCCAUUUGAAUACAUCAAGUUUGCAACCGGUCCAGUUGUCUAAUUAUCAGGUACAUUUGUUGUUUUAUAAAAUGGUUAGUUUUUUAACUGAUCUUUAUUCUACAGCCAGCCCACUACACUUCACUUAGCUGUGGAAAGUGGGACACAUCCACCUCCCAACCUCCUCCCAGGAAGAACCAGUCUGUGAUCUCCUAAGAUGCAUUGAUCGAACUCUGGCCAUCUGACCAUCACCCUACCUCAUCUGCAAACAAUGUUUCAUGCAUGAUCUGAAUACUGUUCAUGGCAAAUUUAAUUUUAGUUCCCUACGAGCCUAUUAAAAACUUGCAUCGAGUUCUCUUAUUUGUGACUAUACACAUGGUGCUUUCAGACGUUGUAAUAGGCUUAACUGAUAUCCUUUUCCAAUUCGAAAAGUGUUGUGAUGGUGAUCAAUCUCAGCUGUGCUGUGUUUGGAGACAUGCUGCUGUUAUGCAUUAAUAUGCAAUCAUAAACUGUAGGUUAAAAACUAUUUGAACAAAUGAGUCAAGUUUGUUCAGCUGCUUUGUUACAGAGUUGUAAAAAUGGCUAGGUGAUGGUUAUAAUUUUAAUAAAGGACAUUGUCCGUCACUCAAGGCUGUUAUCUUGCACUUAAAUACCAUGGUGUAAAUGUAUUAGUUAUGAAUCAUGAUG
This is a long non-coding RNA of Triplophysa dalaica, 6466 nucleotides long. RefSeq lists it as uncharacterized. The record is from RefSeq and is a predicted model, not a curated record. The transcript is spliced from 3 exons. NCBI's taxonomy places the organism in Eukaryota, Metazoa, Chordata, Actinopteri, Cypriniformes, Nemacheilidae.